UGGUCCCAGCCUUGAAAUCAAUUUUUACUCAAUAUACACAUGCAAGUCUCCCCACCCCUGUGAAAACGCCCUUUAAUCCCCAUUAGGGAAAAGGAGCUGGUAUCAGGCACGAAAAUCUGCCCAAAACACCUAGCUACGCCACACCCACAAGGGAAUUCAGCAGUGAUUAACAUUGAAUAUGAGCGACAGCUCGAUUCAGUUAGGGUAAAGUAGGGCCGGCUAAUCUGGUGCCAGCCGCCGCGGUUACACCAUGUGGCCCAAAUUGAUCCCUGUCGGCGUAAAGCGUGAUUAAAGUCUCCAAAAACUUGAGGUUGAACUAAAACUAGGCUGUGACACGCUUGUGAUUAAGAAACCCAAAACGAAAGUUACCCCAAUUAAACCAACUUGAAUUCACGACAGCUGGGGUACAAACUGGGAUUAGAUACCCCACUAUGCCUAGCCGUAAACUUUAAAUUACACCUACAUCGCCUGAGAACUACGAGCAAAGCUUAAAACUCAAAGGACUUGACGGUACCCCCAUAUCCCCCUAGAGGAGCCUGUCCUAUAAUCGAUAACCCCCGUUUAACCUCACCAUUUUUAGCCAAUCAGCCUGUAUACCUCCGUCGUCAGCUUACCACGUGAGCGAAACUUAGUGAGCUUAAUGCCUUUACACCAAUACGUCAGGUCAAGGUGCAGCAAAUGAAAUGGAAAGAGAUGGGCUACACUUUCUAAUAUAGAAAACACGAAAGACUUUAUGAAAUCUAGUCGGAAGGCGGAUUUAGCAGUAAAAAGAAAUCAGAAUAUUCUUUUUAACACGGCACUGGGGUGUGUACACACCGCCCGUCACCCUCUUCAUAAGCCAAAAAAAGUAUCUAACUAAUUAACGCAUAAUAGAAGAGGCAAGUCGUAACAUGGUAAGUAUACCGGAAGGUGUGCUUGGAAA
RNAcentral lists this non-coding RNA (922 nucleotides) under Alsodes gargola (Tonchek spiny-chest frog). Its description in RNAcentral is "partial 12S ribosomal RNA". It matches the Rfam family "Bacterial small subunit ribosomal RNA". Lineage: Eukaryota; Metazoa; Chordata; Amphibia; Anura; Alsodidae. The record is from RNAcentral.